ACGGGAGGCAGCAGUGGGGAAUAUUGCACAAUGGGGGAAACCCUGAUGCAGCGACGCCGCGUGAGCGAUGAAGUAUUUCGGUAUGUAAAGCUCUAUCAGCAAGGAAGAUAAUGACGGUACUUGACUAAGAAGCUCCGGCUAAAUACGUGCCAGCAGCCGCGGUAAUACGUAUGGAGCAAGCGUUAUCCGGAUUUACUGGGUGUAAAGGGAGCGUAGACGGUCGGGCAAGUCUGAUGUGAAAGCCCGGGGCUCAACCCCGGAACUGCAUUGGAAACUGUUUGACUAGAGUGCAGGAGAGGUAAGUGGAAUUCCUAGUGUAGCGGUGAAAUGCGUAGAUAUUAGGAGGAACACCAGUGGCGAAGGCGGCUUACUGGACGGUAACUGACGUUGAGGCUCGAAAGCGUGGGGAGCAAACAGGAUUAGAUACCCUGGUA
RNAcentral lists this ribosomal RNA (434 nucleotides) under uncultured Lachnospiraceae bacterium. RNAcentral describes it as "partial 16S ribosomal RNA". It matches the Rfam family "Bacterial small subunit ribosomal RNA", at positions 341 to 792 of the family's 1533-position model. The record is from RNAcentral. Lineage: Bacteria; Bacillati; Bacillota; Clostridia; Lachnospirales; Lachnospiraceae.